This 2242-nucleotide long non-coding RNA is filed under the name Homo sapiens (human). RNAcentral's name for it is "HSALNT0086657". Lineage: Eukaryota; Metazoa; Chordata; Mammalia; Primates; Hominidae. The record is from RNAcentral.
GUACAAAACACACACACAAAUGUGUCAUUGUAAGUGAAAGAGCCAUCAUGGUACUUAUAACAAUAGUACAAUACAGUAUUUCUUUGGAUUUCAGGGGGGUCUUGAUUCUGAAGGCAGGUUGUUUUCAUAAUAAAGAUGUCAUGAUGUCUUGAAUUGGGCUAGUUUAGCUAAGCCCAGAUCAAAUGAAGAAAAAGAAACUAGUCAAGAUCAUUAUCUUUACCACUUGCUCUGGAAUGUGUUUCUCAAAUAUGUAUUUAGAUGAAUGCAUGGCUGUCGUAACACACUCCCACAAUUACCUACAUACCAAAGUAACUUCCCGUCUCCCCAUCACCCCAGUGCCCUUUUCUCCCAUAUAUUUUAAAGUGAUAAGGCUCAAUGUAAACUUCCUCCUUCCCAAACGUUUAGGGCAGUUCCUGCCAAAGUGCCCCAUUCUACAAAGUGAUUUAGUACUUUAACCUUGCUCCAGACACUCUGACAUCUCUGUUUAGUCUCUGGUGUAAAAAGGUUCGUCUCUCAUAUUUCUUGAGGUUGGGGAAAGGAAAUGGUCACAGAGUUUAGGUGAGGGUGGGAAAGUGAUGCCCUGCUCAUUUGGGGUUUUGUCUUCCAGAGUUCUUCCUCCAUUUUCCUGAUGCCACCAGUAUUAAGGCCAUUGUGUGUGAACAGAUUGCACACAUCUGUCCUGCUGUUGCCCUGAUGACAGUGUACUGCCUUGUUCCUGGUGGUCUCAUUUGUUUUACAAGCUAGGGUACCUGGAACAGAGGUGGUCAAGUAACUCUGUGUGGGACUUCGAUCCUCCUUUAAGGGAAGGACCUACAUGGAGAUGUGAUUAAUGAAUAUACCUCCCUUACCUUUCUUGGCUGAAAGAAUAGCAGCUGUUACUUUAUUCUCUUUCAAAGGAUAAGGGCCAAUAUGCAGAGGUGAGUGAGGCCUCUCAUUUGAUGAUUGAAUCUCCUUCUGUGCUUUUUGGGAAAAAAUGCCUUGAUGGUUGUCUUCAGCUAUUUAGAAUUAGAAAGUAUGAAGAAAAUGUUUUCAUAUUGGUUUUUACUUUAAACAUUUUUUAAAAACCUAUGAACUUUAUUUUCUAGAGUCGACAGCCCUGUAGCCGUGGGUAUUGGGAUAACUUUCCCUAUCCCUCUCCCUAUGGUGUGAGAAGGGACAUUAAACCUCAUCCUUUGUUUGCCACUUUGGUUUCCAGUGCUCUGCCUUGACCACUUAGCACUCUCUCCGAAUAGCUGUAGGUCGAGAAUAGUGGGCAGGAGCAUCAGAGAAGAGUUGGCGUGAGAACGGAACAGCACCACAAAAUAGAAGGCGAGAGGGAAAAAAGCAUCUCGGAGGAAGAAAAUACUGCCGCCUGGUACUCCCUGGUACCCAGAGAUAUCCGGCGUAUUGUGCUUACACUACUCGCCGGUUCCACAGGGAGAGAGCCGGAAGAAUUGCAGGCUUUGGUGGUGACAAGUUCAGGCACUCAUGGGAAAGAGAGUGGGCCCCUUUCUGAGAGAAAUCAUUUUGAGCACAGCCAAGCCAAGAUAUUUUGAGAUGUGAUUCAGACCUGAGAAUGAAACUGCGGGGGGAUGGGAUACUUCGGUUGGGAACAGAUUAGCCCAUUUUUAACAUAGUUGAAAUGUUGAAGUGGUGCCAUCCUAACAAAUGAAUACUUAGCCCCGGGUUUCGAGAAAGUGGCCAAGGAUAAAAGAGGCUAAGUGCAUGGCAUCAAAGCCAAAGCUGGCCUCCUUAUCUGUGGGAGCUGCAGUUGGUUUUCUCAGAGGCAGAAAGUACACUGAACCUAGUUACAUAAGACCCGAGUUCAAGUUCCCACUCCAUUCCACUUGGUGUUAAGUCCUUUAAACUGUUACUUAACUGCUUUAUAAUCUGCAUUAUAGGUUGUUAAAAAUAAGAACAUAUGAAAUACUAAGGGCUUAUAAUGAAAAUUAUAAGUGAUACGAUUCAAAUACGAAUGAAAUUAUAAAUUGAAGGUCAUGGCUUCAAUUUCCACUUAAGCUAAUUACCUUUGUAUUAAGAUUUUUGAGCAAACCCAACCAGUUAUCUGGCAAUCGUAGACACCAUUUUAAUCAGUACUUUACCUUCUAAAUAUGCAAAUAUUUAGAGUUCACACAAACUCUAAAUAUGUUCAUGUGAACAGGGCCACUACCUGAAUAUUAAACCACCAUUAGAAUCUGAUACUCGUCAUUGAAAUACAGCAUAACCUUUUAAUACAUUUGUGGAAACACCAUUUUAAAUUGUU